AGUAAUACAUAAGUAACCUGCCCUAGACAGGGGGAUAACUAUUGGAAACGAUAGCUAAGACCGCAUAGGUACGGACACUGCAUGGUGACCGUAUUAAAAGCGCCUCAAAGCACUGGUAGAGGAUGGACUUAUGGCGCAUUAGCUGGUUGGCGGGGUAACGGCCCACCAAGGCGACGAUGCGUAGCCGACCUGAGAGGGUGACCGGCCACACUGGGACUGAGACACGGCCCAG
RNAcentral lists this ribosomal RNA (232 nucleotides) under uncultured bacterium. RNAcentral describes it as "partial 16S ribosomal RNA". It matches the Rfam family "Bacterial small subunit ribosomal RNA", at positions 109 to 334 of the family's 1533-position model. The record is from RNAcentral.